Molecule: ribosomal RNA, 465 nt
Filed under: uncultured bacterium
Lineage: Bacteria
Description: partial 16S ribosomal RNA
Rfam family: Bacterial small subunit ribosomal RNA
Source: RNAcentral
CCUACGGGAGGCAGCAGUGGGGAAUAUUGCGCAAUGGGCGCAAGCCUGACGCAGCGACGCCGCGUGAGGGAUGAAGGUCUUCGGAUCGUAAAACUCUGUCAGCAGGGAAGAACGGUCACUGUGCUAAUCAGCAGUGCAUUGACGGUACCUGCAAAGGAAGCACCGGCUAACUCCGUGCCAGCAGCCGCGGUAAUACGGAGGGUGCGAGCGUUAAUCGGAAUUACUGGGCGUAAAGCGCUCGUAGGCGGGAUGUCAAGUCAAGGGUGAAAUCCCCGCGCUCAACGUGGGAACUGCCUUUGAAACUGGCAAACUGGAGUGUGGGAGAGGAUAGUGGAAUUCCAGGUGUAGGGGUGAAAUCCGUAGAUAUCUGGAGGAACAUCAGUGGCGAAGGCGACUAUCUGGCACAUAACUGACGCUGAGGAGCGAAAGCGUGGGUAGCAAACAGGAUUAGAUACCCCUGUAGUC